RNAcentral lists this unclassified non-coding RNA (247 nucleotides) under uncultured Dothideomycetes. RNAcentral describes it as "sequence contains 5.8S rRNA gene". The stretch from base 1 to 53 matches the Rfam family "5.8S ribosomal RNA", at positions 102 to 154 of the family's 154-position model. Lineage: Eukaryota; Fungi; Ascomycota; Dothideomycetes. The record is from RNAcentral.
GAACGCACAUUGCGCCCUUCGGUAUUCCGUAGGGCAUGCCUGUUCGAGCGUCAUUUAAACCUUCAAGCUCUGCUUGGUGUUGGGUGUCUGUCUCGCCUCCGUGCGUGGACUCGCCUUAAAAUCAUUGGCAGCCGGUAGUUUGGCUUCGUGCGCAGCAGAAUACGCGUGUGAGACUGGGCGAUCGGCUCUCCAUAAGCCUCUUUUUAGUUUGACCUCGGAUCAGGUAGGGAUACCCGCUGAACUUAAG